AGUGAACGCUGGCGGUAGGCCUAACACAUGCAAGUCGAACGGCAGCACAGUAAGAGCUUGCUCUUACGGGUGGCGAGUGGCGGACGGGCGAGGAAUACAUCGGAAUCUACUUUUUCGUGGGGGAUAACGUAGGGAAACUUACGCUAAUACCGCAUACGACCUACGGGUCAAAGCAGGGGAUCUUCGGACCUUGCGCGAUUGAAUGAGCCGAUGUCGGAUUAGCUAGUUGGCGGGGUAAAGGCCCACCAAGGCGACGAUCCGUAGCUGGUCUGAGAGGAUGAUCAGCCACACUGGAACUGAGACACGGUCCAGACUCCUACGGGAGGCAGCAGUGGGGAAUAUUGGACAAUGGGCGCAAGCCUGAUCCAGCCAUACCGCGUGGGUGAAGAAGGCCUUCGGGUUGUAAAGCCCUUUUGUUGGGAAAGAAAAGCAGCAGGUUAAUACCCCGCUGUUCUGACGGUACCCAAAGAAUAAGCACCGGCUAACUUCGUG
RNAcentral lists this ribosomal RNA (492 nucleotides) under uncultured bacterium. RNAcentral describes it as "partial 16S ribosomal RNA". It matches the Rfam family "Bacterial small subunit ribosomal RNA", at positions 29 to 507 of the family's 1533-position model. The record is from RNAcentral.